Molecule: ribosomal RNA, 360 nt
Filed under: uncultured bacterium
Lineage: Bacteria
Description: bacterial SSU rRNA
Rfam family: Bacterial small subunit ribosomal RNA
Source: RNAcentral
GUAGGGGGCGAGCGUUAUCCGGAUUUAUUGGGCGUAAAGCGUUCGUAGGCGGUUUGUUAAGUCUAAAAUCAAAUCUUGGGGCUUAACUCCAUUCAGUUUUAGAAACUGGCAGACUUGAGUGUGGUAGAGGCAAGUGGAAUUUCUAGUGUAGCGGUUAAAUGCGUAGAUAUUAGAAGGAACACCAGUGGCGAAGGCGGCUUGCUGGGCCAUUACUGACGCUGAGGAACGAGAGCGUGGGGAGCAAAUAGGAUUAGAUACCCUAGUAGUCCACGCCGUAAACGAUGAGUACUAAGUGUCGGGUUACCGGUGCUGAAGUUAACACAUUAAGUACUCCGCCUGAGUAGUACGGUCGCAAGGCUG